GAGGGUAUAGCUCAGUGGUAGAGCAUGUGCUUAGAAUGCACAAGGUCCUGAAUUUGAUCCCCAGUACCUCA
This 71-nucleotide transfer RNA is filed under the name Camelus bactrianus (Bactrian camel). It matches the Rfam family "tRNA". Rfam says of the family: Transfer RNA (tRNA) molecules are approximately 80 nucleotides in length. Their secondary structure includes four short double-helical elements and three loops (D, anti-codon, and T loops). Further hydrogen bonds mediate the characteristic L-shaped molecular structure. tRNAs have two regions of fundamental functional importance: the anti-codon, which is responsible for specific mRNA codon recognition, and the 3' end, to which the tRNAs corresponding amino acid is attached (by aminoacyl-tRNA synthetases). tRNAs cope with the degeneracy of the genetic code in two manners: having more than one tRNA (with a specific anti-codon) for a particular amino acid; and 'wobble' base-pairing, i.e. permitting non-standard base-pairing at the 3rd anti-codon position. Lineage: Eukaryota; Metazoa; Chordata; Mammalia; Artiodactyla; Camelidae. The record is from Rfam by way of RNAcentral. RNAcentral also lists the same sequence under 2 other names.